CACGUGGGAACAUGCCCUUCGGUUCGGAAUAACUCAGGGAAACUUGAGCUAAUACCGGAUACGUCCGCGAGGAGAAAGAUUCAUCGCCGAAGGAUUGGCCCGCGUCUGAUUAGCUAGUUGGUGAGGUAAUGGCUCACCAAGGCGACGAUCAGUAGCUGGUCUGAGAGGAUGAUCAGCCACAUUGGGACUGAGACACGGCCCAAACUCCUACGGGAGGCAGCAGUGGGGAAUAUUGGACAAUGGGCGAAAGCCUGAUCCAGCCAUGCCGCGUGAGUGAUGAAGGCCUUAGGGUUGUAAAGC
Molecule: ribosomal RNA, 300 nt
Filed under: uncultured Beijerinckiaceae bacterium
Lineage: Bacteria; Pseudomonadati; Pseudomonadota; Alphaproteobacteria; Hyphomicrobiales; Beijerinckiaceae
Description: bacterial SSU rRNA
Rfam family: Bacterial small subunit ribosomal RNA
Source: RNAcentral